CUAGUUGGUAAGGUAACGGCUUACCAAGGCAAUGAUGCAUAGCCGAGUUGAGAGACUGAUCGGCCACAUUGGGACUGAGACACGGCCCAAACUCCUACGGGAGGCAGCAGUAGGGAAUCUUCCACAAUGGACGAAAGUCUGAUGGAGCAACGCCGCGUGAGUGAAGAAGGGUUUCGGCUCGUAAAGCUCUGUUGGUAGUGAAGAAAGAUAGAGGUAGUAACUGGCCUUUAUUUGACGGUAAUUACUUAGAAAGUCACGGCUAACUACGUGCCAGCAGCCGCGGUAAUACGUAGGUGGCAAGCGUUGUCCGGAUUUAUUGGGCGUAAAGCGAGUGCAGGCGGUUCAAUAAGUCUGAUGUGAAAGCCUUCGGCUCAACCGGAGAAUUGCAUCAGAAACUGUUGAACUUGAGUGCAGAAGAGGAGAGUGGAACUCCAUGUGUAGCGGUGGAAUGCGUAGAUAUAUGGAAGAACACCAGUGGCGAAGGCGGCUCUCUGGUCUGCAACUGACGCUGAGGCUCGAAAGCAUGGGUAGCGAACAGGAUUAGAUACCCUGGUAGUCCAUGCCGUAAACGAUGAGUGCUAAGUGUUGGGAGGUUUCCGCCUCUCAGUGCU
This 611-nucleotide ribosomal RNA is filed under the name uncultured bacterium. RNAcentral's name for it is "bacterial SSU rRNA". It matches the Rfam family "Bacterial small subunit ribosomal RNA", at positions 245 to 847 of the family's 1533-position model. The record is from RNAcentral.